This 405-nucleotide ribosomal RNA is filed under the name uncultured bacterium. RNAcentral's name for it is "bacterial SSU rRNA". It matches the Rfam family "Bacterial small subunit ribosomal RNA", at positions 1078 to 1482 of the family's 1533-position model. The record is from RNAcentral.
GGUUAAGUCCCGCAACGAGCGCAACCCCUAUUUCCAGUUGCCAGCACGCAAAGGUGGGAACUCUGGAGAAACUGCCGGUGACAAACCGGAGGAAGGUGGGGAUGACGUCAAAUCAUCAUGCCCUUUAUGUCCUGGGCUACACACGUGCUACAAUGGUCGGUACAAAGGGCAGCGAAGCCGUGAGGCGGAGCGAAUCCCAUAAAGCCGGUCUCAGUUCGGAUUGCAGGCUGCAACCCGCCUGCAUGAAGUCGGAAUCGCUAGUAAUCGCAAGUCAGCAUAUUGCGGUGAAUACGUUCCCGGGUCUUGCACACACCGCCCGUCACACCACGAAAGUUGGUAACACCCGAAGCCGGUGGGCUAACCGCAAGGAGGCAUCCGUCUAAGGUGGGAUCGAUAAUUGGGGUG